GACAGAGGGUGCAAACGUUGUUCGGAAUUACUGGGCGUAAAGCGUAUGUAGACGGUCUGCUAAGUCGGGUGUGAAAGCCCUGGGCUCAACCCAGGAAGUGCACUCGAAACUGGCAGGCUAGAGUACUGGAGAGGUUGGUGGAAUUCUCGGUGUAGAGGUGAAAUUCGUAGAUAUCGAGAGGAACACCGGUGGCGAAGGCGGCCAACUGGACAGAUACUGACGCUGAGACACGAAAGCGUGGGGAGCAAACAGG
RNAcentral lists this ribosomal RNA (253 nucleotides) under uncultured bacterium. RNAcentral describes it as "partial 16S ribosomal RNA". It matches the Rfam family "Bacterial small subunit ribosomal RNA", at positions 524 to 776 of the family's 1533-position model. The record is from RNAcentral.